Ochotona curzoniae (black-lipped pika) is the source of this 103-nucleotide small nuclear RNA. NCBI's taxonomy places the organism in Eukaryota, Metazoa, Chordata, Mammalia, Lagomorpha, Ochotonidae. The record is from RefSeq and is a predicted model, not a curated record.
AUGCUCACUUUGACAACACAUAUACUAAAAUUGGAAAUAAGAGAUUAGCAUGGUCCCUGCACAAGGAUGAAAACUCACAUUUUUGAUUCCCUACUAUACAUUU